Molecule: long non-coding RNA, 326 nt
Filed under: Nicotiana benthamiana
Lineage: Eukaryota; Viridiplantae; Streptophyta; Magnoliopsida; Solanales; Solanaceae
Description: long non-coding RNA (NBEN_LNC021568)
Source: RNAcentral
CGGGUAGUAUUGGCAACUCUGAACAUUGUUUUACAUCCUUACCAUUUUGAGAUGAUGGUGGGAGAAGGGACAACUCUUUUGAAAGAUUUGACAAAGAUGCCAGGGUCGAUGCAACUGCUACAGUGGAGGGAUCCCUGGACCUUGCCUCAAGAUGCAGUCCUUUGAAUGAUCCACUAUGAGCUUCCAAUAUACUAACAGGAGACUGCUACAGUGGAGGGGUCCCUGGACCUUGCCUCAAGAUGCAGUCCUUUGAAUGAUCCACUAUGAGCUUCCAAUAUGCUAACAGGACGAGCAAAACUUGCAGCAGAUAAGUUGUCAUCAAAGAU